This is a non-coding RNA of Manis javanica (Malayan pangolin), 397 nucleotides long. NCBI's taxonomy places the organism in Eukaryota, Metazoa, Chordata, Mammalia, Pholidota, Manidae. The record is from RefSeq and is a predicted model, not a curated record.
CAGAGGUCUGGCUUCCUCUCUGGCAAGGUAAUUGACAGUGGUCAUGAUGGCAGCUGCUCCCGCAGCCAGACGCCCUGAGUGACCAUGGAAAUGAACUGUAGACGUCAAGUUCAUGAGUGAUGGGAAGGUUGGCGGGAAGAGGAAGAGACUAAGGCGUUAGCACUUGAUCCCACACGCUGGGGGAGAGAGAACUCCUUUUGACUUUGGAUGCUGGCUUGCGAUCUGUACUCAAGGACCAAGUGUUGUGGGUACAUGUUUAUUACUUCUUUCUUACUUUGUUAUUAAAUCCGUGUGUUGUUGUUACACUGGACCUACUGAUUAGAAAAUGUGCUUCUCCAAUUCAGGAGCAUUUUUGUCAGCAGCAUUUCCCCACAAAAUUAAACAUUCUUCUACCUCA